AUACGGAGGAUGCAAGCGUUAUCCGGAUUUAUUGGGUUUAAAGGGUGCGUAGGCGGAUGAUUAAGCGUGAGGUGAAAUGCCACUGCUCAACAGUGGAACUGCCUCGCGAACUGGUUGUCUUGAAUGCUCCUGCCGUGGGAGGAAUGUGUGGUGUAGCGGUGAAAUGCUUAGAGAUUACACAGAACACCGAUUGCGAAGGCAUCUCACGAAGGGUUGAUUGACGCUGAGGCACGAAAGCGUGGGGAUCAAACAGGAUUAGAUACCCUGGUAGUCCACGCAGUAAACGAUGAUGGCUAACCGCUGGGCUUAUCAGUUCAGUGGCCAAGCGAAAGCGAUAAGCCAUCCACCUGGGGAGUACGACCGCAAGGUUGAAACUUAAAGGAAUUGACGGGG
This 393-nucleotide ribosomal RNA is filed under the name uncultured bacterium. Its description in RNAcentral is "partial 16S ribosomal RNA". It matches the Rfam family "Bacterial small subunit ribosomal RNA", at positions 523 to 918 of the family's 1533-position model. The record is from RNAcentral.